Molecule: ribosomal RNA, 488 nt
Filed under: uncultured bacterium
Lineage: Bacteria
Description: bacterial SSU rRNA
Rfam family: Bacterial small subunit ribosomal RNA
Source: RNAcentral
GAUGAACGCUAGCGACAGGCUUAACACAUGCAAGUCGAGGGGCAGCACAGGGUAGCAAUACUUGGGUGGCGACCGGCGCACGGGUGAGUAACGCGUAUGCAACUUACCUAUCAGAGGGGGAUAGCCCGGCGAAAGUCGGAUUAAUACCCCAUGAAACAGGGGUCCCGCAUGGGAAUAUUUGUUAAAGAUUCAUCGCUGAUAGAUAGGCAUGCGUUCCAUUAGGCAGUUGGCGGGGUAACGGCCCACCAAACCGACGAUGGAUAGGGGGUUCUGAGAGGAAGGUCCCCCACAUUGGUACUGAGACACGGACCAAACUCCUACGGGAGGCAGCAGUGAGGAAUAUUGGUCAAUGGCCGAGAGGCUGAACCAGCCAAGUCGCGUGAAGGAAGAAGGAUCUAUGGUUUGUAAACUUCUUUUAUAGGGGAAUAAAGUGGAGGACGUGUCCUUUUUUGUAUGUACCCUAUGAAUAAGCAUCGGCUAACUCCGUG